GACAUGAUAACAACCUUUAACAUCUCUUUAGUAGCACAUGGAACAGUAGCAGAGAACAUCGAGUAUGAGAAGGAAUUGUGCAAUCCAUAUUCUGUUCCAAUUAGUAUGGGUAUCUUCAAAGUAUUGGAAAGCCCUCUGGAUAUUACAACUACCACAAUAAUUAGGAGGAUUGUAGCAAAUCAUGAAGCAUACCAGAAACGUAAUGAGAAGAACAGAAAGUGAGAAAAGGUAUUAUGAAGAUAAGACGUACGUAUCUGGUGAUUGAGCUGAGAUCGGACCACACGUGGACAGUUGGUGAUUGCUUUUAAUAUUUA
RNAcentral lists this unclassified non-coding RNA (314 nucleotides) under Hevea brasiliensis (rubber tree). The record is from RNAcentral. Lineage: Eukaryota; Viridiplantae; Streptophyta; Magnoliopsida; Malpighiales; Euphorbiaceae.